UACGGGGGGGGCAAGCGUUGUUCGGAAUUACUGGGCGUAAAGGGCUCGUAGGCGGCCAACUAAGUCCGACGUGAAAUCCCCAGGCUUAACCUGGGAACUGCGUCGGAUACUGGAUGGCUUGAAUUCGGGAGAGGGAUGCAGAAUUCAUGGUGUAGCAGUGAAAUGCGUAGAUAUCAUGAGGAAUACCAGAGGCGAAGGCGGCUACCUGGACAAUUGCUGACGCUCAGGCACGAAAGCGUGGGGAGCAAAAGGG
RNAcentral lists this ribosomal RNA (253 nucleotides) under uncultured bacterium. RNAcentral's name for it is "partial 16S ribosomal RNA". It matches the Rfam family "Bacterial small subunit ribosomal RNA", at positions 524 to 776 of the family's 1533-position model. The record is from RNAcentral.